RNAcentral lists this unclassified non-coding RNA (182 nucleotides) under uncultured fungus. RNAcentral describes it as "sequence contains ITS1, 5.8S rRNA gene". Lineage: Eukaryota; Fungi. The record is from RNAcentral.
CAGAGUUUACAACUCCCAAACCCAAAUGUGAACAUACCAAUCGUUGCUUCGGCGGACUCGUCCCGGCGUCCGGGUGGCCUUGCGCUGCCCGCGGCCCGGAUCCAGGCGACCGCCGGAGGCCAUCAAACUCUUUGUAUUACCAGUAUCUUCUGAAUCCGCCGCAAGGCAAAACAAAUGAAUCA